UUCCGGGAUUUGUUUGGUUUUUACCAAGCUCUUCUAUCAGUUUUUCAAGUAGUGUAAAAAAAGAAAAUCCUCUAGAAGACUUCUUUUUAACAAACUGCAUUUUAACUUUUUUUAAAGGGUAAAAGUUUACACAAAAACCGAUGGCCUGGUUGCUGUUCAUCCUAAAUCUGUUAAUGUGGAGCAAACAGACUUUCACUACAACUGGCUUAUCUAUCACCUAAAGAUGAGAACAAGCAGUAUAUACUUGUAUGACUGCACAGAGGUUUCCCCAUACUGUCUCUUGUUUUUUGGAGGUGACAUUUCCAUCCAGAAGGAUAACGAUCAGGAAACUAUUGCUGUAGAUGAGUGGAUUGUAUUUCAGUCUCCAGCAAGAAUUGCCCAUCUUGUUAAGGAAUUAAGAAAGGAACUAGAUAUUCUUCUGCAAGAGAAGAUUGAAAGUCCUCAUCCUGUAGACUGGAAUGACACUAAAUCCAGAGACUGUGCAGUACUGUCAGCUAUUAUAGACUUGAUCAAAACACAGGAAAAGGCAACUCCCAGGAACUUUCUGCCACGAUUCCAGGAUGGAUAUUACAGCUGACAGCUUUUCAGGGGUGGUCUGAAAAGCCAGUUUGACAGCCAUUCUUCAUCAUUGUUUAAAUUUUGGCUGGAUGCCAAACCCUGGGACAUGAACAAUUUUCAUGUGUAAGGUAGAAACCUUCAGUAGGUAGUAAAGACUUAAU
This 719-nucleotide small RNA is filed under the name Pan troglodytes (chimpanzee). RNAcentral describes it as "retained intron". Lineage: Eukaryota; Metazoa; Chordata; Mammalia; Primates; Hominidae. The record is from RNAcentral.